UACGAAGGGGGCUAGCGUUGCUCGGAAUUACUGGGCGUAAAGGGCACGUAGGCGGCACUGUUAGUCAGGCGUGAAAUUCCUGGGCUCAACCUGGGGACUGCGCUUGAUACGGCAGAGCUUGAGGAUGGAAGAGGGUCGCGGAAUUCCCAGUGUAGAGGUGAAAUCCGUAGAUAUUGGGAAGAACACCGGUGGCGAAGGCGGCGACCUGGUCCAUUACUGACGCUGAGGCGCGACAGCGUGGGGAGCAAACAGG
This 253-nucleotide ribosomal RNA is filed under the name uncultured bacterium. RNAcentral's name for it is "partial 16S ribosomal RNA". It matches the Rfam family "Bacterial small subunit ribosomal RNA", at positions 524 to 776 of the family's 1533-position model. The record is from RNAcentral.